UACCAGCUCUCCGAGUAGUGUGGAUGUUUAUUGGGCCUAAAGCAUCCGUAGCUUGCUAAGCAAGUCCCCUGUUAAAUCCACCGAUUCAAUCGGUGGAUUGCGGGGGAUACUGUUUGGCUAGGGGACGGGAGAGGCCGACGGUAUUUCCGGGGGUAGGGGUGAAAUCCUAUAAUCCCGGGAAGACCACCAGUGGCGAAGGCUGUCGGCUAGAACGCGCCCGACGGUGAGGGAUGAAAGCGUGGGGGAGCGAACCGGAUUAGGAUACCCGGGGUAGUCCCAGCUGUAAACGAUGCAGGCUAGGUGUUUGGGCGGCCACGAGCCGCUCUAGUGCCGCAGGGAAGCUGUUAAGCCUGCCGCCGUGGGGAGUACGGCCGCAAGGCUAGAAACUUAAAGGAAUUGGGCGGGGGAGCACCACGAAGGGGUGAAGCGUUGCGGUUU
Molecule: ribosomal RNA, 438 nt
Filed under: uncultured archaeon
Lineage: Archaea
Description: bacterial SSU rRNA
Rfam family: Archaeal small subunit ribosomal RNA
Source: RNAcentral